RNAcentral lists this ribosomal RNA (253 nucleotides) under uncultured bacterium. RNAcentral describes it as "partial 16S ribosomal RNA". It matches the Rfam family "Bacterial small subunit ribosomal RNA", at positions 524 to 776 of the family's 1533-position model. The record is from RNAcentral.
UACAGAGGGGGCAAGCGUUAUUCGGAAUUAUUGGGCGUAAAGGGCGCGUAGGCGGCUUUGCAAGUGACGGGUGAAAUCCCACGGCUUAACCGUGGAACUGCCUGUCAGACUGCAUGGCUUGAGACCAGGAGAGGUGAGUGGAAUUCCCAGUGUAGCGGUGAAAUGCGUAGAUAUUGGGAGGAACACCAGUGGCGAAGGCGGCUCACUGGACUGGUACUGACGCUGCGGCGCGAAAGCGUGGGGAGCAAACAGG